ACAACUCUUAGCGGUGGAUCACUUGGCUCGUGCGU
RNAcentral lists this ribosomal RNA (35 nucleotides) under Scomberesox saurus saurus. Its description in RNAcentral is "partial 5.8S rRNA". Lineage: Eukaryota; Metazoa; Chordata; Actinopteri; Beloniformes; Belonidae. The record is from RNAcentral.